GAUGAAGAACGCAGCGAAAUGCGAUAACUAAUGUGAAUUGCAGAAUUCAGUGAAUCAUCGAGUCUUUGAACACACAUUGCGCCCCCUGGUAUUCCGGGGGGCAUGCCUGUCCGAGCGUCAUUGCUGCCCUCAAGCACGGCUUGUGUGUUGGGCUCCGUCCCCCCGGGGACGGGCCCGAAAGGCAGCGGCGGCACCGAGUCCGGUCCUCGAGCGUAUGGGGCUUUGUCACCCGCUCUGUAGGCCCGGCCGGCGCCAGCCGACAACCCAUCAUCCUUUUCAGGUUGACCUCGGAUCAGGUAGGGAUACCCGCUGAACUUAAGCAUAUCAAUAAGCGGAGGA
This 339-nucleotide unclassified non-coding RNA is filed under the name soil metagenome. RNAcentral's name for it is "partial contains 5.8S ribosomal RNA, internal transcribed spacer 2, and large subunit ribosomal RNA". The stretch from base 1 to 120 matches the Rfam family "5.8S ribosomal RNA", at positions 35 to 154 of the family's 154-position model. The record is from RNAcentral.